UUAGUUCAAUUCAUUCAGACAAUUCUUACUUUUCUUAGUCCAUCGUAUGGUGGCUUUAGAUAAUAGUUUGACUAAUUGCAAUGUCUGGUUUCAAUAAUAAUUCAAAAAGAGUCAAUUGCAACUAAAUGCUGAUGUUGUUUCACGAUUGCCCAAAUAUUCCUGUGUUAUCCACGGCGAUGGAUACCCUUAACACGUGGCUUUAACUAAGACAACCCAGCUGUUGCCUACAUGCACCAAGUUGUGUUCGAAAGGAAAUUGGAUGUAGGUGACUCGGAUCUUUUUCAAUCAACAGAUGGAAUACAAAAAUCUACAAUCCUCAAGAGCACAACAUUAUUGGUUUAUUUUAUUAGCACAAAGAGACGGCAAGCGGAAUUUUUCUUAUUCGCAGUACUGACAACCUUUGCCUAGCAAACUCGGCCUUGGUAACGACACCCUCGAAAGACUCGGCGUAUAAUUUUAUUUCAUCAGUGGGCCCGCUCUGCAUCACCAAAGAUUGGGAAUCAUCUCCAUGGUUUAACUUUGCACGAACUGCUAAGUAUGUGAUUUGUAUGCCGGAGCUUCGUACUUGGGAGCGUAUUCGGCUGACCUGUAAGAAUCGGCGGCAGCGACAGCGAAAAGGGCGGCGAGGAUGAUGAACUAAUAAAAUAGGAACAUUUGACGCCAUGUAAAAGGCUUAUGUAAGAAUCUCAGAAAUGAACUUCGGAACGUGGGGCCAACUAUUAACCGCUUCGUCUUCGUCACCGAAGAUAUAGGUCUACAACUCUCCAUGACGUCCAUGCCCAUCUCCACAUCCAACUCUUUCAUGUCGUCCAUGUGUUGCUUUCAUUGCCCGUUUUACUCACUACCUGGUGCAAAACAAAAUAAUGGGUCCUCGGGUCACCUCAGCACAUGCACUUUCAUAGGCACUUCCAUGCCGAAUCGAUGACCACGAAGCGCUUCACGCUAAAGGCCAGCACAUUUUUCUGAAUUGUGUAUCCAUAUUCUGAAUGCAGUUUUUUUCCAUUGUCGUCGUUUUUCCGUGAACCAAGUAAUCGAUUUUUUUUUAACUUUUUGGGUAUCUAUGUAGUUAUCGAUUUCUAUCUGCGUAUUGAACUUAUGGUGAUCCAAUCCAUCCCAAUCGGUUCCGGCCAUCCAAUUUUCGCAAGGAAGAAGAAUUCCUUUUUAUUUUAAAACAGAACCGAGAAUCCAGGAAUAUUUUAGCGCUUCCAUAAUUAAAAUAUUUAUGGUAGUACUUUGAUCGAAUUGAAUUUUUGUAUUAAAUAAUAAGUUUAGAUACACACAUUUCAGCGGUUUCAA
Molecule: long non-coding RNA, 1296 nt
Organism: Daphnia pulex (common water flea)
Lineage: Eukaryota; Metazoa; Arthropoda; Branchiopoda; Diplostraca; Daphniidae
Exons: 7
Source: RefSeq, a predicted model, not a curated record